RNAcentral lists this ribosomal RNA (253 nucleotides) under uncultured bacterium. RNAcentral's name for it is "partial 16S ribosomal RNA". It matches the Rfam family "Bacterial small subunit ribosomal RNA", at positions 524 to 776 of the family's 1533-position model. The record is from RNAcentral.
UACAGAGGAGCCAAGCGUUGUCCGGAUUGACUGGGCGUAAAGCGCACGCAGGCGGGGGUGCGCGUGGGGGGGGAAAUCUGGCCGCUUAACGGCCAGGCGCCAUCCCAUACGGCACGCCUGGAGUGAUGCAGAGGUCGAUGGAAUUGCCGGUGUAGUGGUGAAAUGCGUAGAGAUCGGCAGGAACACCCAGGGGGAAACCAGUCGACUGGGCAUCUACUGACGCUGAGGUGCGAGAGCGUGGGGAGCGAACCGG